Henosepilachna vigintioctopunctata is the source of this 76-nucleotide non-coding RNA. NCBI's taxonomy places the organism in Eukaryota, Metazoa, Arthropoda, Insecta, Coleoptera, Coccinellidae. The record is from the annotation of a GenBank genome assembly.
GUUUUCCAUUUGACUCAGUUGGAAAAACAUCCGACUAUGGUUCGGUAAGAUUCGGGUUCGAGUCCCGGUGAAGACA